Long non-coding RNA from Pogoniulus pusillus (Red-fronted tinkerbird), 784 nucleotides. RefSeq lists it as uncharacterized. The transcript is spliced from 2 exons. Lineage: Eukaryota; Metazoa; Chordata; Aves; Piciformes; Lybiidae. The record is from RefSeq and is a predicted model, not a curated record.
CUUUACAUGAACAGAACACAGAACAAAUCCUGUAUGGAUAAGUCCUACAGCAGCGAGGGCAGUGGGCUACACUCCCAGAUCAGGAAGGUCCAUGGAACUGCAGAGUUUUAGAGGUAUGCAUUGGCUGUGAUCCUCAGCACUUGGAAAAGCACAAUACCCUGGAAAAGCACACCACCACAAUGCACAGCACUAGCCAGGCAACAUCCCAACUGGAGGGAUCUGAAAUGACCAGAUGUUCGAAAGGGCUGCCCAUGCUACAGUGACACAACCAGCUGGUAAGAGGAGGUGGCUUGAUAGAGACAUGCAGCAUUUCUGACUCAACACAUUUAUUCAUUUAUACAGGCUUCUCUUGUGUAUCAGCUCUUAGCUGUAGAGCUGAAUUUUGGGCUUCUUUUGCAUGCACAACUACCUGCUACUUACCACUGACUUCCGAAUACUAACACGCGGUUUGGGAAUAGGUUUGGAGGGUUUGUUUUCAAAGCUUUCUGGGAGGGUUGAAGAAUGGCCUCCUUUUCGUGCUUGUAGUGCAAGCUGAUAGGCCACUUCAAAUGCUUGUCCUAGCGUAAGAAUGAUUUCAUAAGCUAAAUUCUGGAACGAAACAAAGAACAGUUAAAAUUAGAGAGAGGUUUAAUUAUUGUCAGAUAGACGAACUGGGGCAGUUCUGUCUGCAGCAGCGACUCCUCAUGUAAACAAUUCAAAUCACAAUGGUAAUAACUUCCUCAGCCUCUGUAACAUUUACAUCUGUCAUUUGAUUUCUCAUUGAUUAAAAACAAUCUAAAUGUAA